UUUCCGGUUGAUCCCGCCGGACCUGACUGCUAUCGGAUUGAUACUAAGCCAUGCGAGUCUUUGCAGUAAUACAAGGCAUACGGCUCAGUAACUCGUAGUCAACUUACCCUAUGGACAAGAAUAAUCUCGGGAAACUGGGCGUAAUUCUUGAUAGAUCAUAAUACCUGGAAUGGUUUAUGGUUAAAAUGAUUCGUCGCCAUAGGAUGGGACUGCGGCCUAUCAGCUUGUUGGUGAGGUAAUGGCCCACCAAGGCGAUUACAGGUACGGGCUCUGAGAGGAGAAGCCCGGAGAUGGGUACUGAGACACGGACCCAGGCCCUAUGGGGCGCAGCAGGCGAGAAAACUUUGCAAUGUGCGAAAGCACGACAAGGUUAAUCCGAGUGAUUUCUGCUAAAGAAAUCUUUUGCCAGUCAUAAAACCACUGGUGAAUAAGGGGUGGGCAAGUUCUGGUGUCAGCCGCCGCGGUAAAACCAGCACCUCAAGUGGUCAGGAUGAUUAUUGGGCCUAAAGCAUCCGUAGCCGGCUUUGUUAGUUUUCGGUUAAAUCCAUGUGCUCAACGCAUGGGCUGCCGAAAAUACUGCAUAGCUAGGGAGUGGGAGAGGUGGACGGUACUCAGUAGGAAGGGGUAAAAUCCUUUGAUCUAUUGAUGACCACCUGUGGCGAAGGCGGUCUACCAGAACACGUUCGACGGUGAGGGAUGAAAGCUGGGGGAGCAAACCGGAUUAGAUACCCGGGUAGUCCCAGCUGUAAACGAUGCAGACUCGAUGAUGCAUUGGCAUAUAUAGCCAGUGCAGUGUCGCAGGGAAGCCGUUAAGUCUGCCGCCUGGGAAGUACGUACGCAAGUAUGAAACUUAAAGGAAUUGGCGGGGGAGCACCACAAGGGGUGAAGCCUGCGGUUCAAUUGGAGUCAACGCCGGG
Molecule: ribosomal RNA, 917 nt
Filed under: uncultured archaeon
Lineage: Archaea
Description: SSU rRNA
Rfam family: Archaeal small subunit ribosomal RNA
Source: RNAcentral